GACGAACGCUGGCGGCGUGCUUAAUACAUGCAAGUCGAACGGAAAGGCCCUGCUCUUGCGUGGUGCUCGAGUGGCGAACAGGUGAGUAUCACGUGAGUAACCUGCCCCUGACUUUCGGAUAACACCAGGAAACUGCGGCUCUAAUACCAUAUGAUCUCUUGCUGCACGGUGGUGGUUGGAGAGUUUCGGCGGUGGGGGAUGGACUCGCGGCUUAUCAGCUUCUUUGUGGGGUAGUGGAUUACCAAGGCUUUGACGGAUAGCCGGCCUGAGAGGCUGACCGGCCUCAUUGGUACUGAGAUACGGCCCAGACGCCUACGGGAGGCAGCAGUGGAGAAUAUUGCACAAUGGGCGGAAGCCUGAUGCAGCAACGCCGCGUGCGGGAUGACGGCCUUCGGGUUAUAAACCGCUUUCGCCUGCGACGAAGCGUGAGUGACGGUAAUGGGUAAAGAAGCACCGGCUAACUACGUG
This 468-nucleotide ribosomal RNA is filed under the name uncultured bacterium. Its description in RNAcentral is "partial 16S ribosomal RNA". It matches the Rfam family "Bacterial small subunit ribosomal RNA", at positions 28 to 507 of the family's 1533-position model. The record is from RNAcentral.